This is a long non-coding RNA of Pseudophryne corroboree (corroboree frog), 629 nucleotides long. RefSeq lists it as uncharacterized. NCBI's taxonomy places the organism in Eukaryota, Metazoa, Chordata, Amphibia, Anura, Myobatrachidae. The record is from RefSeq and is a predicted model, not a curated record. The transcript is spliced from 2 exons.
UGUUCUGCUGCUGUUUUCUCCAUAAUCUGUGUUUGCAACAACAUCUGCCACAUGAUGAUGAAGAAAACAGUCAGCAAGCAGAGGAGUUAGAAACAUCUGGUGACAGUGUGAGUACAGAUGUAGGGAGGCAGGUAAGGCAAGAAGUUAUUCAGCGAUAUUUUACCCACAGCUGAGGUGAUCGUGGCUCAUCACUUUGAGGACUUGCCAAAAUUUCCAGAGGUGGCUGGGGCAACACUGCGGAGAUGCGCCGCCUGGGUGGUGAAGAUGGAGCCGCAGACUCAGACUCCACACGACGUGUCUUACUGGGCCUCCUAGGCAAACUCACAGAGCCCUGUGAUGGCCGCCUUAGAGGAGGGCGGCUUGCAGAAGAAGAACCUAUGUGAAAAGAAAAACAUUAUUAUUUUUUUGCUUCUAUGUGUUUGCCGAAUAUGUGAAUACAGUGAAUUCUUACCUGCAUUCCCACCAUCUUCAUCAGUUGGCUGUGGCCUGUCUGUGGUGCUUCUCUGGCGUACUGUUGAUACAGUUGAAAAACAUUAUGACCAUACUUUAAAUACUCCUUGUUAUCUGAACUUCCUUAUUGUGAUGUAAACAUCUGGAACCUAAUGUUAAGUAAACUAUUUUUUGUUUAA